Molecule: ribosomal RNA, 550 nt
Filed under: uncultured bacterium
Lineage: Bacteria
Description: bacterial SSU rRNA
Rfam family: Bacterial small subunit ribosomal RNA
Source: RNAcentral
UAGGGAAUCUUCGGCAAUGGACGGAAGUCUGACCGAGCAACGCCGCGUGAGUGAAGAAGGUUUUCGGAUCGUAAAGCUCUGUUGUAAGAGAAGAACGAGUGUGAGAGUGGAAAGUUCACACUGUGACGGUAUCUUACCAGAAAGGGACGGCUAACUACGUGCCAGCAGCCGCGGUAAUACGUAGGUCCCGAGCGUUGUCCGGAUUUAUUGGGCGUAAAGCGAGCGCAGGCGGUUAGAUAAGUCUGAAGUUAAAGGCUGUGGCUUAACCAUAGUAGGCUUUGGAAACUGUUUAACUUGAGCGCAAGAGGGGAGAGUGGAAUUCCAUGUGUAGCGGUGAAAUGCGUAGAUAUAUGGAGGAACACCGGUGGCGAAAGCGGCUCUCUGGCUUGUAACUGACGCUGAGGCUCGAAAGCGUGGGGAGCAAACAGGGUUAGAUACCCUGGUAGUCCACGCUGUAAACGAUGAGUGCUAGGUGUUAGACCCUUUCCGGGGUUUAGUGCCGUAGCUAACGCAUUAAGCACUCCGCCUGGGGAGUACGACCGCAAGGUUG